UUCCCUACCUGAGCGCUUCUUCCUCCAGAUCACAGCUCCAGCCACCACAGCUCCAAGGAGAACCAGGCCAGCAAUGAUGCCCACAAUGAGGAAGGUGGACUCAGAGGGUGGCUCUGGGAAGGGAAGG
Non-coding RNA from Ceratotherium simum simum (southern white rhinoceros), 127 nucleotides. Lineage: Eukaryota; Metazoa; Chordata; Mammalia; Perissodactyla; Rhinocerotidae. The record is from RefSeq and is a predicted model, not a curated record.